GAUGAACGCUGGCGGCAGGCCUAACACAUGCAAGUCGAACGGCAGCACAGCAGUAGCAAUACUGUGGGUGGCGAGUGGCGGACGGGUGAGGAAUACAUCGGAAUCUGCCUAGUCGUGGGGGAUAACGUAGGGAAACUUACGCUAAUACCGCAUACGACCUACGGGUGAAAGCGGGGGAUCGCAAGACCUCGCGCGAUUAGAUGAGCCGAUGUCCGAUUAGCUAGUUGGCGGGGUAAUGGCCCACCAAGGCGACGAUCGGUAGCUGGUCUGAGAGGAUGAUCAGCCACACUGGAACUGAGACACGGUCCAGACUCCUACGGGAGGCAGCAGUGGGGAAUAUUGGACAAUGGGCGCAAGCCUGAUCCAGCCAUGCCGCGUGGGUGAAGAAGGCCUCGGUGUAAGCCUU
This 406-nucleotide ribosomal RNA is filed under the name uncultured bacterium. Its description in RNAcentral is "bacterial SSU rRNA". It matches the Rfam family "Bacterial small subunit ribosomal RNA", at positions 28 to 434 of the family's 1533-position model. The record is from RNAcentral.